GUUUGUAUGACAGUUCGGAUAAGAAAUAUAAAGAUAAUCUUGCUAAAGAUAAUGUGUGGCAAGAAAUAGCAUCUCGCAUUGAGGGUAAAACAGAUGGUGAUUGCAAAAAGAGAUGGAGGUCCAUUCGCGAUAUAUGCAAGAGACUAAAAAGGAGUGGCCAAUUAGGAACCGGAUCAUCAGCAGCGGUAAAGCGCAAAAAGUGGCCUCUGUUCGAUUGUCUUUCAUUUCUUGAAACGGUUUCAGAGGAAAGAAGUACGAUAUCCAACAUAGAUGAAGAGACACAGGAGAGCAAUGAUGAGGCAUUUUCCGAUUUAGACCAUAAUUUGGUAGAAAAGACAGAAAGUACAACUUAGAAUAUUUUUCUACUGCCUCGCCAUCAACUUCUAGUGCGACAAGUACCUACACUCCUGCAAAACUACCUAAGAGAAAAAUGACUAAUAACAUUUCAAAAAUACUUGAAGAAAACAAAAAGACCAGAGAGAAAAUCGUCGAAACAUUUGUGAAUAAAACCAAUGUUGCCCAAGAAGACGAUGUAGAUAUGUUCUACAGAAGUAUUGCGUUUAAGUGUAAAACAGCUUUUCCUGCAUUUAAUUGCAAAAGCAAAACUUCAACAUUUACAAAUUUGAUUUGCCUCAACAGCAAGAGAGAUCUUCACUUAAUCUUUCUACAGAUUCGAGAUAGUAUGGAUAGUAUGGAAGAUUCGUGAAUAAGAAUCAGCCUCACAUUUACCUCAAUAGCAAGAUAGAUGCUCAUUAAAUAUGGAUAAAGAUUCAA
Anthonomus grandis grandis is the source of this 774-nucleotide long non-coding RNA. RefSeq lists it as uncharacterized. NCBI's taxonomy places the organism in Eukaryota, Metazoa, Arthropoda, Insecta, Coleoptera, Curculionidae. The record is from RefSeq and is a predicted model, not a curated record. The transcript has 3 exons.